RNAcentral lists this ribosomal RNA (326 nucleotides) under uncultured eukaryote. RNAcentral describes it as "partial 18S ribosomal RNA". It matches the Rfam family "Eukaryotic small subunit ribosomal RNA", at positions 1470 to 1796 of the family's 1831-position model. The record is from RNAcentral.
CCCCUAGAUGUCCGGGGCCGCACGCGCGCUACACUGAACGGAUCAGCGCGUUUUCCCUUCCCGAGGGGGACGGGUAACCUGCUGAACCCCGUUCGUGGUAGGGAUCGGGGCUUGCAAUUAUUCCCCGUGAACCAGGAAUGCCCAGUAAGUGCAAGUCAUAAGCUUGCGUUGAUUACGUCCCUGCCCUUUGUACACACCGCCCGUCGCUACUACCGAUUGAACGUUUUAGUGAGGUACUCGGACUGAGCCUCAGAAGAUUCACGUCUUUUGUGCUGCUCGGGAAGAUUCCCAAACUUGAGCGUUUAGAGGAAGUAAAAGUCGUAACA